GAUGAACGCUGGCGGCGUGCCUAAUACAUGCAAGUCGAGCGAACAGACGAGGAGCUUGCUCCUCUGACGUUAGCGGCGGACGGGUGAGUAACACGUGGAUAACCUACCUAUAAGACUGGGAUAACUUCGGGAAACCGGAGCUAAUACCGGAUAACAUGUUGAACCGCAUGGUUCAACAGUGAAAGACGGUCUUGCUGUCACUUAUAGAUGGAUCCGCGCCGCAUUAGCUAGUUGGUAAGGUAACGGCUUACCAAGGCAACGAUGCGUAGCCGACCUGAGAGGGUGAUCGGCCACACUGGAACUGAGACACGGUCCAGACUCCUACGGGAGGCAGCAGUAGGGAAUCUUCCGCAAUGGGCGAAAGCCUGACGGAGCAACGCCGCGUGAGCGAAGAAGGUCUUCGGAUCGUAAAACUCUGUUAUUAGGGAAGAACGAAUGUGUAAGUAACUAUGCACGUCUUGACGGUACCUAAUCAGAAAGCCACGGCUAACUACGUG
RNAcentral lists this ribosomal RNA (497 nucleotides) under uncultured bacterium. RNAcentral describes it as "partial 16S ribosomal RNA". It matches the Rfam family "Bacterial small subunit ribosomal RNA", at positions 28 to 507 of the family's 1533-position model. The record is from RNAcentral.